GACGAACGCUGGCGGCGUGCUUAACACAUGCAAGUCGAACGGAAAGGCCCUGCUUUUGUGGGGUGCUCGAGUGGCGAACGGGUGAGUAACACGUGAGUAACCUGCCCUUGACUUUGGGAUAACUUCAGGAAACUGGGGCUAAUACCGGAUAGGAGCUCCUGCUGCAUGGUGGGGGUUGGAAAGUUUCGGCGGUUGGGGAUGGACUCGCGGCUUAUCAGCUUGUUGGUGGGGUAGUGGCUUACCAAGGCUUUGACGGGUAGCCGGCCUGAGAGGGUGACCGGCCACAUUGGGACUGAGAUACGGACCAGACUGCUACGGGAGGCAGCAGUGGGGAAUAUUGCACAAUGGGCGGAAGCCUGAGGCAGCAACGCCGCGUGCGGGAUGACGGCCUUCGGGGUGUAAACCGCUUUCGCCUGUGACGAAGCGUGAGUGACGGUAAUGGGUAAAGAAGCACCGGCUAACUACGUG
RNAcentral lists this ribosomal RNA (468 nucleotides) under uncultured bacterium. Its description in RNAcentral is "partial 16S ribosomal RNA". It matches the Rfam family "Bacterial small subunit ribosomal RNA", at positions 28 to 507 of the family's 1533-position model. The record is from RNAcentral.